CAGUCGCCGCGGUAAUACGGAGGGUGCAAGCGUUAAUCGGAAUUACUGGGCGUAAAGCGCACGCAGGCGGUUUGUUAAGUCAGAUGUGAAAUCCCCGAGCUUAACUUGGGAACUGCAUUUGAAACUGGCAAGCUAGAGUCUUGUAGAGGGGGGUAGAAUUCCAGGUGUAGCGGUGAAAUGCGUAGAGAUCUGGAGGAAUAUCGGUGGCGAAGGCGGCCCCCUGGACAAAGACUGACGCUCAGGUGCGAAAGCGUGGGGAGCAAACAGGAUUAGAUACCCCUGUAGUCCCUGUCUCUUAUAC
This 301-nucleotide ribosomal RNA is filed under the name uncultured bacterium. RNAcentral describes it as "partial 16S ribosomal RNA". It matches the Rfam family "Bacterial small subunit ribosomal RNA", at positions 509 to 807 of the family's 1533-position model. The record is from RNAcentral.